UUCUUCUAAUUCUCCCCCCACACAUUAAACACAACAUUGUCCUUAAUAUAGAAAUAAAAAAAGAACAGAAAAUAAUAACAAAUAUAAAGUAAAAUAUGAAAAAUAAAAGAUAAGGGAAAAAGAAAGAAAUAUUAAUUUUUGUUGUUGGGUUGCCUCCUAGUAAGCGUCUUUGUUUUAUGUCAUUAGCUUGACACACCACAUGCUCAUACCUUGUAGAUUGGUUCAGCUACCUCA
This 234-nucleotide long non-coding RNA is filed under the name Populus tremula. RNAcentral's name for it is "long non-coding RNA (PTRE_LNC001544)". Lineage: Eukaryota; Viridiplantae; Streptophyta; Magnoliopsida; Malpighiales; Salicaceae. The record is from RNAcentral.